GGGGACAUAGCUCAGUUGGUAGAGUAGUUGUCUAGUAUAAACAAGGCCCUGGGUUCAAUCCUCAGUGCCACCA
Non-coding RNA from Ictidomys tridecemlineatus (thirteen-lined ground squirrel), 73 nucleotides. NCBI's taxonomy places the organism in Eukaryota, Metazoa, Chordata, Mammalia, Rodentia, Sciuridae. The record is from Rfam.